This 508-nucleotide ribosomal RNA is filed under the name uncultured bacterium. RNAcentral's name for it is "partial 16S ribosomal RNA". It matches the Rfam family "Bacterial small subunit ribosomal RNA", at positions 30 to 523 of the family's 1533-position model. The record is from RNAcentral.
AUUGAACGCUGGCGGCAUGCCUUACACAUGCAAGUCGAACGGCAGCGGGGGAGAAGCUUGCUUUUCCUGCCGGCGAGUGGCGAACGGGUGAGUAAUACAUCGGAACGUGCCCUGUAGUGGGGGAUAACUAGUCGAAAGAUUAGCUAAUACCGCAUACGACCUGAGGGUGAAAGUGGGGGACCGCAAGGCCUCCUGCUAUACGAGCGGCCGAUGUCUGAUUAGCUAGUGGGUGGGGUAAAGGCCUACAAAGGCGACGAUCAGUAGCUGGUCUGAGAGGACGAUCAGCCACACUGGGACUGAGACACGGCCCAGACUCCUACGGGAGGCAGCAGUGGGGAAUUUUGGACAAUGGGCGAAAGCCUGAUCCAGCAAUGCCGCGUGUGUGAAGAAGGCCUUCGGGUUGUAAAGCACUUUUGUCCGGAAAGAAAUGGCUCUGGUUAAUACCUGGGGUCGAUGACGGUACCGGAAGAAUAAGGACCGGCUAACUACGUGCCAGCCGCCGCGGUAA